RNAcentral lists this ribosomal RNA (468 nucleotides) under uncultured bacterium. RNAcentral's name for it is "partial 16S ribosomal RNA". It matches the Rfam family "Bacterial small subunit ribosomal RNA", at positions 28 to 507 of the family's 1533-position model. The record is from RNAcentral.
GACGAACGCUGGCGGCGUGCUUAACACAUGCAAGUCGAACGGAAAGGCCCUGCUUUUGUGGGGUGCUCGAGUGGCGAACGGGUGAGUAACACGUGAGUAACCUGCCCUUGACUUUGGGAUAACUUCAGGAAACUGGGGCUAAUACCGGAUAGGAGCUCCUGCUGCAUGGUGGGGGUUGGAGAGUUUCGGCGGUUGGGGAUGGACUUGCGGGUUAUCAGCUUGUUGGUGGGGUAGUGGCUUACCAAGGCUUUGACGGGUAGCCGGCCUGAGAGGGUGACCGGCCACAUGGGGACUGAAAUACGGCCCAGACGGCUACGGGAGGCAGCAGUGGGGAAUAUUGCACAAUGGGCGGAAGCCUGAUGCAGCAACGCCGCGUGCGGGAGAACGGCCUUCUGGUUGUAAACCGCUUUCGCCUGUGACGAGGCGUGAGUGACGGUAAUGGGUAAAGAAGCACCGGCUAACUACGUG